Molecule: RNA transcript, 4696 nt
Organism: Alosa sapidissima (American shad)
Lineage: Eukaryota; Metazoa; Chordata; Actinopteri; Clupeiformes; Clupeidae
Gene: klf6b
Gene name: Kruppel-like factor 6b
Exons: 5
Source: RefSeq, a predicted model, not a curated record
GCACGCCACACGCACCGUGCUCUGUUUGGCAAAUACAGACUCCGUCCGCGGACUGGCGCGACUAGUGCGUGCGCACGAACAUUCUAAAAGAACGUGAACUUGAGACGGAGAACACACCAACCACGAGUGCAUAUGAAGAUCUGCAACGGAGUUCGGAGUGUAACUAUAUUACGGAGUAAUUCAUUGAUUAUUUAAUUAAUUAAUUAAAAGUGCUGAGAAAAGUGCUUCGGCUGCGCGCGGGACGCUGACAUGGACGUGAUCCCGAUGUGCAGCAUCUUUAACGAGCUCCAGACAGUACAUGACACUGGAUAUUUCUCCGCACUCCCAUCCUUAGAGGACAACUGGCAGCAGACAUGUCUGGAGCUGGAGCGGUAUCUAUUGCGUGAGCCUUAUGUCGGCGCAGAGGAGUCUCUGUGGAGCCAGCUGGUUCUCUGCUGUGGAGGGUCGUCUGGAGGAGGAGGGGAGGCUGUCUCUGCGUCGGCCCCAGGCCCGAGCUCCCCUCCUGGGCAUGGUGAGGAGGCUGACCACCCCCCGGUGGUGCUGCAGGGAGGACUGGGCCCCGGCUCCGACACGGCCAGCGAGGCCUCGGACAGCUCCGAGGACGCGACCUCCGACCUGCUGCUGACCCCGGCCGAGGUGUCCGUGGAGACGGGCGACAGAGGGGAGAGGUCGUCGCCGGGGGCGACGGAGGGGAGGCGGAGAGUGCAUCGCUGCCUCUUCAGCGGCUGUCGGAAGGUGUACACUAAGAGCUCCCACCUGAAGGCCCAUCAGCGCACUCACACAGGUGAGAAGCCCUACAGGUGUUCAUGGGAGGGGUGUGAGUGGCGUUUUGCUCGUAGUGAUGAACUCACACGUCACUUCAGAAAACACACAGGAGCCAAACCCUUCAAAUGCUCCCAAUGCGACAGGUGUUUCUCGCGAUCUGACCAUCUGGCCCUGCACAUGAAGAGACAUGUCUAGUAUGACCAAGAAGAGUGUGUGUGUGUGUGUGUGUGUGUGUGUGUGUGUGUGUGUGUGUGAAGGGUGAAUGGAGAGGGAAGCUUAUGUGCAAUGUGUUUAUAUAGGUUAUCGUUUACCUGACAGACUAAGCUUUUAUUUUGUCUCUGUUUGCACCGCCUGAGAACCACUAGCCUGAGGACACACGCUCUCAGUGGGCGCUAGCAUUAGGCUAGUAGCGCUUGUGCUAGCCUUAGGAUAACAUGCUGUUAGUUGGUGCUAGCAUUAGGCUAGUAGCGCUUGAACUAGCCUUAGGAUAACAUGCUGUUAGUUGGCGCUAGCAUUAGGCUAGUAGCGCUUGAGCUAGCCUGAGGACACACGCUCUCAGUGGGCGCUAGCAUUAGGUUAGUAGCGCGUGAGCUAGCCUUAGGAUAACAUGCUGUUAGUUGGUGCUAGCAUUAGGCUAGUAGCGCUUGAGCUAGCCUUAGGAUAACAUGCUAUCCGUUGGCACUAGCAUUGGGCUAGUAGCGCUUGAGCUAGCCUUAGGACAACAUGCUGUUAGUUGGUGCUAGCAUUGGGCUAGUAGCGCUUGAGCUAGCCUUAGGAUAACAUGCUGUUAGUUGGUGCUAGCAUUAGGCUAGUAGCGCUUGAGCUAGCCUUAGGAUAACACACUCUCAGUGCGCACUAGCACAAGAUAGUGGUAGAGUCAGCCUUAGUCACUUUACUCAUGUGGCAGCCAAAACGAGGCUACUGGGUACACAAAAAAUGGUGAAAAUGCAUCAAUGAUAUAGCUAGUGUACUAGCCUCCCUUUGGUUAACACCAAAAGACUUUGGCCGCUGCGUGAAUUCGUUUUUGUGCUGGUGAUAGGCUAGUAGCGCUUCAGCUAAUCAGAGGAUAGUGGGUGGUUUGAGCUGAUCCGAGGAUAACACACUGUUUGUGGGCGCUUACUUAAACAUGCUAGCAUGUCUUUUUUUACGUGUUUGAGCUUUAUCAAAACUGUGCCUUACAUCAUUAAAUCAGAGUGUUAGUCACAGAGUAUAAUUGAUUCUGGUAACUGAUUCUGAGUUGUAAUUCACAACCCAGAAAGCACUGGCUUUUGGAGCACGUCCUUGAUGUUCAGAGAGAGAAUGUUCACCAGCAGAACUGCGCAGCAGGUGUGGCGUGCUGUUCCACUCUCUAUAUUCAGCAUUGGCCCUGUAGCGCUAUACAUGGAUCUGGCCUAACGCUAACCUAGCCCUGUAGCGGUGUACAUGGUCCUGGCCUAACGCUAACAUAGCCCUGUAGCAGUGUACAUGCUAACCUAGCCCUGUAGCGGUGUACAUGGCCCUGGCCUAACGCUAACAUAGCCCUGUAGCGGUGUACAUGCUAACCUAGCUCUGUAGCGGUGUAUAUGGCCCUGGCCUAACGCUAACCUGGCCCUGUAGCGGUGUACAUGGCCCUGGGCUAAUGCUAACAUAGCUUUAGCUCAGAAGACUUUGGGAUAUUGCACCCGAUGCCACUGGGCCACUAGUGCAUUCAUAAGGUUAGUGUUUCUUUCAGCUAGCAGACCAGUGUGAGAGUCAGAUUAGCGUGUUAGCUAGCAGACCAGUGUGAGAGUCAGGUUAGUGGGUAAGCUAGCAAACCAGUGUGAGAGUCAGGUUAACGGGUUAGCUAGCAGACUAGCAUGAGAGUCAGGUUAGCGUGUUAGCUAACAGACCACUGUGAGAGUCAAAUUAGCAGGUCGGCUUGCAAACCAGUGUGAGAGGCAAGCUAGUUAUCUAGCAGAGGCGCGGCAGGCAAGCUAGUUAUCUAGCAGAGGCACGGCAGGCAAGCUAGUUAUCUAGCAGAGGUGCAAGUUAAGCAUGUCUGCUACAUGCUGCUGUGUCGCACCCAGGUGUGGCUAAUACACACCUCAUAUCGAAGAUCACCCAGGUGUCACGACCAUCACUGCCAGAUUUGUUUGUUUUGUUUUGGUUUGUUUGGGUCUUACUUGGUUUUGUAUUUUUGUUACUGUUGGAGAAGCCACUAUUGCUCAGUGUUCGUCCCAGAAAAAGUUAUUUUUGUAAAGUUUUAUUUCUGUGUGAAGUAUCCAUGAUGAGUUUGUUUAUUUUUGUAUGGUUACUCAGUUACUUGUGUGAGAGGAAGCAUGGCAUUUGUGUGUGUGUGUGUGUGUGUGUGUGUGUGUGUGUGUGUGUGAGUGUGGUUUCCUUGUGGAUGCAGUUUGUAGCCUGAAGGUGCCUUAGUUCCUGCUUAUCUCUGGCACCCCCCGCAGGCAUGUUUGGAUGUGGCCCCCUGUUGAGACAACUGACCAAUCAUCUGGACAGCUCAAGUAAAGGUGUCAGGAGGUUUACUGAUUGGUCGAUAAAUUCUGGCCAGUCUGCUCUGAUUGAUGGAUGAUAACUAGUUCCUUCUGACGUCUGAUUGGUGGAUGAGGCCUUGCCUUUUUGCUCAUAUCGGUGGAUAAUCUCUGGAUCCUCUGUUCUCAUUGGUGGAUAAUCUCUGGAUCCUCUGUUCUGAUUGGAUGAACUGUUCAUCGUACGUCCUUAUUCACACGUCUCUGGACUCACUGCUCAUUGUCACCUGACUGACUGAUACACCUGUUACCUGUCACACCUGUUACCUGUCUCACCUGUAACCUGUCUCACCUGUUACCUGUCUCACCUGUUACCUGUCUCACUUGUUGGGGCUCCAUACAGCUCAGUCGCAUAUUUUAAGCGCAGUCAUGAAAAUUCGUCCCAAAAAAAAAGGGUUUCCAUCUGCCGUGCUAUGCUACUUAAAAAGCGGAGCAGCAGUACCCCCUGGUGGGCUGUGAGGGCAUUGCUGGUAGCCCCUGACCAAGCCCCUGACCAGGCUCAGCUCACUCUCUUAGUCAAACGGAAACCCAGACACUGUCUCACUUCUCUCACCUGUCUCACUUCUCGCACCUGUCUCACUUCUCGCACCUGUCUCACUGCACCUUACACAAGGACACAUUUAAUUGCAGCGCUGUAAUGUGGUAGUGAUCACAAAGCUCUCUCAGCAGCUUCUGUGUCUGUCUGUGUGUGUGUGUCUCUGUGUGUGUGUGUGUGUGCGUGAGUCAGUGUGUGUAUGUGUGUGUGUGAGAGAGAGGUUUUCAGAGUGUUUAUGAUACACAUACUUUAUGACAGAAAAACGGACUGUGCUUUGGACAGAGAGAAAUGUAAUGUGUGUGAGUGUGUAAGUGUCUAGGUGUGUGAGUGUGUAAGUGUGUAAGUGUGUGAAUGUGUGGGUGUGUAAGUGUGUGAGUGCUCGGAAUGUCAGGAAAUGAUCCGACAUUUCAAAACCCAGAGUCAACUCAAGUCACUGACACACAGACUAAACAUCACCACCGAUACCAGAUACACACACACACACACACACUUACACACACACACACACACACACACACUCACCAUGGGUCUUUAAACCAGGCAAAAUGAAAUCUCAGGAGAGCAAGCAAUGUCCAAAAGCUUCUGUUUGUGUGUGUGUAUCUGUGUGUAUGUGUGUGUAUGUGGACUCUGAGUGUGCAUUGUGUGUGUGUGUGUGGACUGUAUGUGUGCAUUGUUGGUGUGUGUGUGUACUGUAUGUGUGCUGCACUAAAUGAUCGUUGUGAGCAAGCUGUGUAUAAAAUGUCUAUAAGAGCAAAAUGGAUUUUAUUUUUGUCUUGAGUUGUAUGUGUUCUUUUGAAAAGCUGCAUUUCUUUUGAAAUUGUUUUUGAAAAUGUGUUAUUUUUCUGUAUGAAUGUAUUUUUAUUGGAAUAACAAUGAAAUCCUCUUAUGAAAA